GUGCCAGCCGCCGCGGUAAUACGUAGGUGGCAAGCGUUGUCCGGAAUUAUUGGGCGUAAAGCGCGCGCAGGCGGUUUCUUAAGUCUGAUGUGAAAGCCCCCGGCUCAACCGGGGAGGGUCAUUGGAAACUGGGGAACUUGAGUGCAGAAGAGGAGAGUGGAAUUCCACGUGUAGCGGUGAAAUGCGUAGAGAUGUGGAGGAACACCAGUGGCGAAGGCGACUCUCUGGUCUGUAACUGACGCUGAGGCGCGAAAGCGUGGGGAGCGAACAGGAUUAGAUACCCCUGUAGUCC
Molecule: ribosomal RNA, 292 nt
Filed under: uncultured Bacillus sp.
Lineage: Bacteria; Bacillati; Bacillota; Bacilli; Caryophanales; Bacillaceae
Description: partial 16S ribosomal RNA
Rfam family: Bacterial small subunit ribosomal RNA
Source: RNAcentral